AGUGAACGCUGGCGGUAGGCCUAACACAUGCAAGUCGAACGGCAGCACAGGAGAGCUUGCUCUCUGGGUGGCGAGUGGCGGACGGGUGAGGAAUACAUCGGAAUCUACUUUUUCGUGGGGGAUAACGUAGGGAAACUUACGCUAAUACCGCAUACGACCUACGGGUGAAAGCAGGGGAUCUUCGGACCUUGCGCGAUUGAAUGAGCCGAUGUCGGAUUAGCUAGUUGGCGGGGUAAAGGCCCACCAAGGCGACGAUCCGUAGCUGGUCUGAGAGGAUGAUCAGCCACACUGGACAUGAGACACGGUCCAGACUCCUACGGGAGGAAGCAGUGGGGAAUAUUGGACAAUGGGCGCAAGCCUGAUCCAGCCAUACCGCGUGGGUGAAGAAGGCCUUCGGGUUGUAAAGCCCUUUUGUUGGGAAAGAAAUCCAGCUGGUUAAUACCCGGUUGGGAUGACGGUACCCAAAGAAUAAGCACCGGCUAACUUCGUGCCAGCAGCCGCCGUAA
This 506-nucleotide ribosomal RNA is filed under the name uncultured bacterium. RNAcentral describes it as "partial 16S ribosomal RNA". It matches the Rfam family "Bacterial small subunit ribosomal RNA", at positions 29 to 523 of the family's 1533-position model. The record is from RNAcentral.